RNAcentral lists this ribosomal RNA (730 nucleotides) under uncultured bacterium. Its description in RNAcentral is "SSU rRNA". It matches the Rfam family "Bacterial small subunit ribosomal RNA", at positions 505 to 1240 of the family's 1533-position model. The record is from RNAcentral.
GUGCCAGCCGCCGCGGUAAUACGGAGGAUCCAAGCGUUAUCCGGAAUCAUUGGGUUUAAAGGGUCCGUAGGUGGAUAACUAAGUCAGAGGUGAAAUCUUGCAGCUCAACUGUAAAAUUGCCUUUGAAACUGGUUAUCUUGAGUUAUUAUGAAGUAGUUAGAAUAUGUAGUGUAGCGGUGAAAUGCAUAGAUAUUACAUAGAAUACCAAUUGCGAAGGCAGAUUACUAAUAAUUAACUGACACUGAUGGACGAAAGCGUGGGUAGCGAACAGGAUUAGAUACCCUGGUAGUCCACGCCGUAAACGAUGGUUACUAGCUGUUUGGACUUCGGUCUGAGUGGCUAAGCGAAAGUGAUAAGUAACCCACCUGGGGAGUACGUUCGCAAGAAUGAAACUCAAAGGAAUUGACGGGGGCCCGCACAAGCGGUGGAGCAUGUGGUUUAAUUCGAUGAUACGCGAGGAACCUUACCAGGGCUUAAAUGUAAGUUGCAUUAGCUAGAGAUAGCUAUUUCUUCGGACCACUUACAAGGUGCUGCAUGGUUGUCGUCAGCUCGUGCCGUGAGGUGUCAGGUUAAGUCCUAUAACGAGCGCAACCCCUGUUGUUAGUUGCCAGCGAGUCAUGUCGGGAACUCUAACAAGACUGCCAGUGCAAACUGUGAGGAAGGUGGGGAUGACGUCAAAUCAUCACGGCCCUUACGUCCUGGGCUACACACGUGCUACAAUGGUAGGUAC